CCUUGGACGAGAGCCAAGUGAACAAAACCAAAAGUGUUUUCAUUGUACUGGUUUUACAGGAAAUGCAGUGCAGCCACGUCAAACAAAACUGAAGACAUCUCAAAAAGUCACACGACUAGAAAGGUUUGCACUGCACUGACAUCUUUCCACCAUGGCUGGCACGAGCUCUGAUCUGCAGCACAGAAGAGGACGCCAAAACACACAGAUACAAAAGACAGGUCCUCUGGCCAGUAGGUGGCGCAGCGACUAUACCAUAUCAGCAUGCGACCAAAGUCAGAUGUUCAACAUGACUGUAAAGGAGGAGUUCAUUCAAAUACAAGGGCCAACAAGAAUGAGUCAGCUGACAACCAAAUCCUCUCCAAAUUCUGACCACAAGCAUACAUGCAUAAUUGUUGGUGUCAUAGCAGGAGCAGUGGUGGGACUAUUUUUUGGUGCAAGUCUAUUUCGAGGUAACCCAAUUUUAGGCACACUGGCUGGAGCAAUAGUUGGGGGCUUUUUCGGAUAUGGUGCUGGAAAAGAGUCAUCAACACCAACAGAGGCUACAUUGAAGUCCGUGAGGGAUGUCGGUGCAGUCGGUACCGUGUUCAAACAAGCAAAGGGUGCUUUGUAGGGUGGAGACUCGAAAGAUACAAAAUGAGUACAUUUAGAGACAAAUCGUUGGGUUUAUGGGUUGAACAAAUGUUUUUAAUCAACCAACUGCUUCUUUGCCCGCUUUGAAUCAUCUCAGCAGCACUCAUCUGCUCCAGCCAUGCCCCAGCCCCCACCCCAUCUGGCUCCUGCACCGCUCCACUCACUAUACAGGAGCACCAUGUCAGACGUGUGUACCUGACAGUGAACCCCAAGAGGGCUCCCGGCCCAGACGGAGUACCUGGCAAGGUGCUCAAAGCGCGCGCCCACCACCUCGCCCCCACCUUUACCAGGAUCUUCAACCUCUCACUGGCCCAGGCAGUCAUCCCACCCUGCCUGAAAUCUUCCACAAUAAUCCCGGUGCCAAAAAAGUCUUCGUCACCAGCAUGAAUGAUUACCGACCAGUGGCCCUCACUCCGGUAAUCAUGAAGUGCUUUGAGAGACUAGUUCUUCAGCACAUCAAGGACCAUCUCAUCAAGGACAAUCAAAGGCAUUCUAUUCUAUUCUAUUAUGUGAAAAAUUAUUUCUAUGAUUAUGUUACCUAUAGUGGGUUUACUUUGUUUUGUUUUUAACAAUAAUCAAUGUAACCUAAGUCAUUAUGUGUUUAUUGUACAUUAUUAAAUGAUCAAAAAUGUAAGUUUUUAAAGGACC
Parambassis ranga (Indian glassy fish) is the source of this 1278-nucleotide long non-coding RNA. NCBI's taxonomy places the organism in Eukaryota, Metazoa, Chordata, Actinopteri, Ambassidae. The record is from Ensembl.